GAGGCAUCACAUUUACUAAAACUGGAAUGAUACAGAAGAGCAUGGCCUCUGCACAAAGAUGACACACAAAUUCAUGAGGUGUUCCACAUUUUU
Cavia porcellus (domestic guinea pig) is the source of this 93-nucleotide small nuclear RNA. NCBI's taxonomy places the organism in Eukaryota, Metazoa, Chordata, Mammalia, Rodentia, Caviidae. The record is from Ensembl.